RNAcentral lists this small RNA (16 nucleotides) under Arabidopsis thaliana (thale cress). RNAcentral describes it as "ATSL289310". Lineage: Eukaryota; Viridiplantae; Streptophyta; Magnoliopsida; Brassicales; Brassicaceae. The record is from RNAcentral.
AAAUAGAUAAAGAAAA